GUCAGUAUGUCCGAGUGGUUAAGGCGCUAGACUUGAAAUCUAGUUCAUUCGUGAUCCUAGUCGAACCCUAGUGCUGACG
This 79-nucleotide transfer RNA is filed under the name Penicillium camemberti FM 013. RNAcentral describes it as "tRNA-Ser (TGA) (tRNA-Ser-TGA-2-1)". It matches the Rfam family "tRNA". From Rfam's summary of the family: Transfer RNA (tRNA) molecules are approximately 80 nucleotides in length. Their secondary structure includes four short double-helical elements and three loops (D, anti-codon, and T loops). Further hydrogen bonds mediate the characteristic L-shaped molecular structure. tRNAs have two regions of fundamental functional importance: the anti-codon, which is responsible for specific mRNA codon recognition, and the 3' end, to which the tRNAs corresponding amino acid is attached (by aminoacyl-tRNA synthetases). tRNAs cope with the degeneracy of the genetic code in two manners: having more than one tRNA (with a specific anti-codon) for a particular amino acid; and 'wobble' base-pairing, i.e. permitting non-standard base-pairing at the 3rd anti-codon position. Lineage: Eukaryota; Fungi; Ascomycota; Eurotiomycetes; Eurotiales; Aspergillaceae. The record is from RNAcentral.